CAGACCUCAAACCUUCCUUAGGCCAAAUGGAACCCAAAGUCUCACAUGGCCAAAAUCUCAUUUGAGGCAGUCCUUGGUCUCUUGUUAGGUGGUAAGAGAUGUAUCACCUAGAAUAAACCAACAACAAAUGAACUGUGAUAUCUUCACUCAAGAUAUUUACACCUCAAGGGAGAAAACAGAACGAAUGGAACAAACCAGGGCAAGGAAAGAAACGUGGUCAGAGAACUGAUGAGAAACUGGUCUACCUUUCCUCCUGCAGGUCUCUGCAUUAGCUUCAGGCCCUGGAGAAAUUCUUGUGGAGAAUGGGCAGGAGAAAACUUUGUUUACUGACAGACAGCAACCACAGCCGAAGGUACCCAAUCCUAAGAAAUUGCAGUAGAUCUGAACAAAGUGGGGUGAGUCAUUCAUGCAGCUGACUCCUAGAUUGUGUGUGUUUGAAGAUGCAGCCAGGAAGCCCAGAGACUUUUCUGAUGCUUCAUCCACCAUGACGGCAAAAUGCCGGCCAGGUCAUUACUGACCUACGGGGCAGCCUGUGCACACUGCUGUCAGUGAAGGUGCCCUGAAGUUGGACCCAGGCAGUGCCGACUUAGGUGAUGCCCAACAGUGGUCAUGUUUUAAUAUCCCUUCCUUUUUAUGACAACACUAUUUUCCGUAUACUCCUGUAGUAUUUGGUAAUCAGCAUUAUUUGUCUACAAGCAAACAAUAAUUAAGAAGAAUAAAUGUUAAUUUCUAAAACAUUAUUCAAAUUCAAUGAACUAUUUCAUGAAUGAACUG
RNAcentral lists this long non-coding RNA (774 nucleotides) under Fukomys damarensis (Damara mole-rat). RNAcentral's name for it is "lncRNA (ENSFDAG00000029332.1)". The record is from RNAcentral. Lineage: Eukaryota; Metazoa; Chordata; Mammalia; Rodentia; Bathyergidae.